UCAUCUUUAUGUCUUCAAUUUCGUCCAUUCCUUUAGUUCCAAGCAUGUGAUAUUUAUUCCAAGCCCAAAAUUGCUCCAAAAGGCUCUAAAAUGCACAUUUUUGCAUACUUUGUCCUUAGAACCUGAAAUUGUACAAAAAUGACUUUAAACACUAAAACUACUAAGGAAUAACAACAUAAAUGCAUGAGAACAAGCUAACUUAGUCUCAUAAAUAUGCUCCUAUCAAAUUCCCCCACACUUAGCUUUUGCUAGUCCUCGAGCAAAACAAAAGAAACAAACGAAUCAAAACAAACAGAACAUAACUUAACCUUCCAACAUUUGCCUCAGGGAUUUGCAAUGCACAUGACAUGUUAAAAAUCAUCAUUCCCACAGCUUUUAGUCAUGUUUACACUUAAGCACAUACUUAAUUACAGUCACCACUUACUAGUUCGCAAUUAACCAAUUAAAACGAUAUUUUGAAUGUAGUAAUAUGCCUUAGAGAAUUUGCUCAAUUCCUUACAAGAUACUCUCUAUUUUCACACACAUUUUCUGACUACACACCUUACACUAGUUAUAUGUGAGCGAUUGAUGUAAACAUGGAAGACUAGUACUCACAUAUGUUAUAACAAAGAAAGCAAUUUCUGGAGUUAAUAAGCAUGUUUAGAUAUGAUCUCAUGAAUGGAAUGUUACUACUUAGAUGCGAGAACCAGUGACACCAUAUGCUCAUACCAAUUUCAAACUCCACGAAUUGAAACACACGACACUCAAGAUUGAAGUCAAGGGUUGUAACGGGGCUUGGGGGUAAUGGCUAACAAAGAAAGGAUAGGGAUAGCAAACAUUCUUAAAGCGAUAGCAGGCAAAGUAAUGAAAUAGACACUUGGAAUUCACUUAAUAAUGCAGAAAUUAACUUUUAAACACAAAGGGAAGAUUCAAGCAACACUUAGGGCCGAAUUCAAUGUUUUGGACCCUUUUUUAACAAACUUUUUUCUUUUCACUCUUUUUUUUUUCCCCCAUACCUUAUUAAGGACUUUGGCGCACACACACACACACACACACACACAAGAAUCACUUCCCCCACACUUGCUUUCUGCAUACAUUGAUAAAUAAAUAAAAUAAAAAAUUCAUUUUAAGUCAUGCUUUACUAUGCUUCAAGAAC
Molecule: long non-coding RNA, 1135 nt
Filed under: Malus domestica (apple)
Lineage: Eukaryota; Viridiplantae; Streptophyta; Magnoliopsida; Rosales; Rosaceae
Description: long non-coding RNA (MDOM_LNC014066)
Source: RNAcentral